CGAACGCUGGCGGCGCGCCUAACACAUGCAAGUCGAACGGAGCUUAGAGAGCUUGCUUUUUAAGCUUAGUGGCGAACGGGUGAGUAACGCGUGAGUAACCUGCCCUAGAGUGGGGGACAACAGUUGGAAACGACUGCUAAUACCGCAUAAGCCCACGGUGCCGCAUGACACUGAGGGAAAAGGAUUUAUUCGCUUUAGGAUGGACUCGCGUCCAAUUAGCUAGUUGGUGAGGUAACGGCCCACCAAGGCGACGAUUGGUAGCCGGACUGAGAGGUUGAACGGCCACAUUGGGACUGAGACACAGCCCAGACUCCUACGGGAGGCAGCAGUGGGGGAUAUUGCACAAUGGGGGAAACCCUGAUGCAGCGACGCCGCGUGGAGGAAGAAGGUUUUCGGAUUGUAAACUCCUGUCGUUAGGGACGAUAAUGACGGUACCUAACAAGAAAGCACCGGCUAACUACGUGCCAGCAGCCGCGGUAAAACGUAGGGUGCAAGCGUUGUCCGGAAUUACUGGGUGUAAAGGGAGCGCAGGCGGGAAGACAAGUUGGAAGUGAAAACCAUGGGCUCAACCCAUGAAUUGCUUUCAAAACUGUUUUUCUUGAGUAGUGCAGAGGUAGAUGGAAUUCCCGGUGUAGCGGUGGAAUGCGUAGAUAUCGGGAGGAACACCAGUGGCGAAGGCGGUNUACUGGGCACCAACUGACGCUGAGGCUCGAAAGCAUGGGUAGCAAACAGGAUUAGAUACCCUGGUAGUCCAUGCCGUAAACGAUGAUUACUAGGUGUUGGGGGAUUGACCCCCUCAGUGCCGCAGUUAACACAAUAAGUAAUCCACCUGGGGAGUACGACCGCAAGGUUGAAACUCAAAGGANUUGACGGGGGCCCGCACAAGCAGU
This 890-nucleotide ribosomal RNA is filed under the name uncultured bacterium adhufec15.25. RNAcentral's name for it is "bacterial SSU rRNA". It matches the Rfam family "Bacterial small subunit ribosomal RNA", at positions 30 to 933 of the family's 1533-position model. The record is from RNAcentral.